This 970-nucleotide ribosomal RNA is filed under the name uncultured bacterium. RNAcentral describes it as "bacterial SSU rRNA". It matches the Rfam family "Bacterial small subunit ribosomal RNA", at positions 356 to 1350 of the family's 1533-position model. The record is from RNAcentral.
GGGGAAUUUUCCGCAAUGGGCGAAAGUCUGACGGAGCAAUCUCGCGUGGAGGAUGACACCUUUCGGGGCGUAAACUCCUUUUAUGAGGGAAGAAAUUUUGACGGUACCUCAUGAAUAAGGGACGGCUAACUACGUGCCAGCAGCCGCGGUAAUACGUAGGUCCCAAGCAUUAUCCGGAAUUACUGGGCGUAAAGCGAUCAAAGGCGGUUUAUUAAGUCUGGUGUUAAAGCCCUCGGCUCAACCGAGGAAUUGUACUGGAAACUGAUAAACUAGAAGAAUGCAGAGGUGACUAGAAUUUCUAUUGUAGGGGUUAAAUCCGUAGAUAAUAGAAGGAAUACCAAAAGCGAAGGCAGGUCACUGGGCAUUUCUUGACGCUGCUUGAUCGAAAGCGUGGGGAGCAAAACGGAUUAGAUACCCGUGUAGUCCACGCCCUAAACAAUGGAUACUCGGUGUGGGAGGGUUUCAAUCCCCUUCCGUGCCUAAGCUAACGCGUUAAGUAUCCCGCCUGGGGAGUACGGCCGCAAGGUUAAAACUCAAAGGAAUAGACGGGGAUCCACACAAGCGGUGGAGCAUCUGGUUUAAUUCGACAAUAAGCGGAGAACCUUACCGGGGCUUGACAUCCUCAGAAUUCCUUGGAAACAGGGAAGUGCCUUUAUGGAACUGAGUGACAGGUGCUGCAUGGUUGUCGUCAGCUCGUGCCUUGAGGUGUUCGGUUAAGUCCGUUAACGAGCGCAACCCUCGUCGUAUGUUGUUUUUUUCAUGCGAGACUGCCAGUUUUAAGCUGGAGGAAGGUGAGGAUGACGUCAAAUCAGCAUGGCCCUUAUGUCCCGGGCGACACAGGUGCUACAAUGGCCGGUACAAUGCGUAGCCAAACCGCGAGGUGGAGCCAAUCGCAUCAAAGCCGGUCUCAGUUCGGAUUGUGGUCUGCAACUCGACCAUAUGAAGUUGGAAUCGCUAGUAAUUGCAGGUC